UGUUACGCACAAGAAUAGCAAAUGAUUCCUGCCCCUGGCCAUUCCCUCUAGCUUGAGACAUUCACCUCUCUCCCUUUUCAGUAACCAUCACCACAAGUAGUAAAGUCCCUGGCUAGACUCUGUGUACGCACAUGUUCUAACAGUACAAGACAGCUGUCACAGCCUUCCAAAGACACAGGUGGAACUCAGCCAGUCCAGUUCGAGACCAGCCUGGCCAACGUGGUAAAACCCCGUCUCUACUAAAAAUACAAAAAUCAGCCUGGCGUGGUGGCACAUGCCUGUAAUCCCAGCUACUCAGGGGGCUGAGGCAGGGGAAUCACUUGAACCCGGGAGGCAGGCAGAGGUUGCAGUGAGCGGAGAGCACUUGGUUUAAAAUAUUAGUUGAAUGAAUGGCCUAAGGAAGAACAAGAACAUUGGAUUGUGUGCUGUAUUAAUUUCCCAGAGCUGCUGCAAUAAAGUACCACAAAAGGUGUAGCUUUAGCCAAAGCUAGCAGACUGGUGGGUUUCCAGGCUCAGGCAUUUAUCACUCCUGUGACGCUGCUUCCUAACCUACAGAACAGUUACUAAACUUACGAAAUUUCCACACAUUGGGAAUACAUGCGAGGACUAAAAAUGUGACGGAUAGGCCGGGCGUGGUGGCUCACGCCUGUAAUCCCAGCACUUUGGGAGGCCAAGGCGGGCGGAUCACGAGGUCAGGAGAUCAGACCAUCCUGGCUGACAAGGUGAAACCCCGCCUCUACUAAAAAUACAAAAAAAAAUUAGCCGGGCGUGGUAGCGGACGCCAUAGUCCCAGCUACUCGGGAGACUGAGGCAGGAGAAUGGCGUGAACCCGGGAUGCGGAGCUGGCAGUGAGCCGAGAUCGUGCCUCUGCACUCCAGCCUGGGCAACUGAGCAAGACUCCGUCUCAAAAAAAAAAAAUGUUAUGGAUAAAAUAGCUGAAAUGUUUCGAAGGCUAAAUUCGUGUGUGUGUGUGUGUGUGUGUGUGUGUGUUGAGAAGGAGUCUCGCUCUGUCUCCCAGGCUUCAGUGCAGUGGCGUGAUCUCGGCUCACCGCAUCCUCCACCUCCCAGGUUCAGGUGAUUCUCCUGCCUCAGCCUCGGGAGUAGCUGAGAUUAUACGUGCCCACCACCAUGCCUGGCUAAUUUUUGUAUUUUUAGUAGAGAUGGGGUUUCACCAUGUUGGCCAGGCUGAUCUGAAGCUCCUGACCUCAGGUGAUUCGCCUGCCUCGGCCUCCCAAAGUGUUGGAAUUACAGGUGUGAGCCACCAUGCCCAGCCUAAAUUCAGAUUUUGAAAGUCAUCAGAGAGGAUAACCAUAUCCUUCCAGAAAAUACCCCCCUGUGCCAUAGCCAAAGAGGAAACCCAGCAAAGGGUAAUAUUUAUUAUGUUCUCGAGCUUUGAAAACUUCAAAAAGCAUUCAUUUAGAGAAAGUUAGUUUCCAACAGACUAGACAGACAAUUAAAAUCAAGCUGGUUUCCCCCUUGGUCCCUUCACUCAAUAAACCCUGUUAGCCUCUGGAGCCAAUGCUAUUAGCCUGGAAUGCGGUGGGGGGCGCUCUUAGCUGCUGUCUCAUGUGCUGUUUUCAAAGACUUCUCCGUGAGGAACAUCAAUGGUUUCCUUCUGUUGCCCUGGCUAACUAAGUGGAACACCCUCUUAGCAACAAAAAGGGGAGAUUUGCUAGCACCUUCACUAUAUGCAGCAAAUAUCAUCUCCCAGUAAUAGUCCUAGGUAAUUAAACUUUUAUUUUUCCCAUGAUUUAUCGUCUGGGAAAUACUAACUCUGUUAAACUUCGGACUUUACAUAUAAAAUGUAAAAUUUUUUUCAGUUUGGAUAAAGUUCUGUUAUAAGUAACUGAAAAUCAAGCAGAGACAUACACAAGUUAGAGGUUUAUUUCUCUCUCCAGUAAACCUGGGAAGUUCAUGGUGGCCCAGUUCACUAGGACUUGGACUUCUUUUAUUUUGUAACUCCAUCAUCCUCACCUGUGGCUUCUGCCUUUUAGUCCAAAAUGGCUGUUUCAGAUCUAGUGAUAUCAUCACAUUCCAGCCAGCAAGAAAGAAAAGAAGGCAAGAAAGUGAUAGCCCUCUUCUUUUAAGGACCCUUCUGGAAGUUGUAUAUACAACUUGUACAUAUUGGCCAGUAGGCCACCUGAGAAGACUGAGGGCCUCAGUUCUUUCCUAGCUGUUGGCUGGAGGUUGCACACAGUUUCUCAUUACAUGGCUUUUUCAAUAUGGCAGAUUGCUUUAUGAAAACAAUAUUCAGCAAGACCCAAGCUUCAAGGGGGGAUGAGAAAUGUAAUAUUUGCUCUCAGUUUCUGUGGUAGCCAUGAAAUUAUGCCUCUCAGAUGUCCGACUAAGGAAACGUAAUUGUCUGAAGGCCCCAGCUGCUGUCCUCUGGAAAGGCUGAGGGAGGAGGGUUGCUUGACUUAGGAAGUCAAGGCUGCAGUGAGUUAUGAUCGCGCCACUGCACUCCAUCCAACCUGCUUGACAGAGCAAGACCCCAUCUCUAAAUAAAUUUUUAAAAAUACAAUCCGCCAGGCACAGUGGCUCACUCCUGUAAUCCCAGCACUUUGGGAGGCCGAGGCAGGCGGAUCAUGAGGUCAGGAGAUAGAGACCAUCCUGACCAACAUGGUGAAACCCUGUCUCUAGUAAAAAUACAAAAAUUAGCUGGGUAUGGUGGCACACGCUUGUAGUCCCAGCUAUUCGGGAGGCAGAGGCAGGAGAAUCACUUGAACCCGGGAGGAAAAUAUUGCAAGGAGCAGAGAUCGCGCCACUGCACUCCAGCCUGGCGACAGGGCAAGACUCUGUCUCAAAAACAAACAAACGAAAAACCAAUCUACUCCAAAAAUACUAUUUAAAUAACAGAAAAAGCCUGUUUCUAUUUCUGUCAAUGUAUGUGUAUUGCAUGUAUGUUACAAAUAAUCCUUUUCCUAACUUAGAACUUAUAUUUCUACAGGGUGAGGGCUUAUGUAUAAAACCAAUAUAAAAUAAUGAAGAGGAGAGAUACCAAAUCUUACAUCUUUUCCUUGUACAACCUGAAGACAUGCCUCAGACCCAAUAAUUUUUUAUAUUGCAAUUUUCAUUUUAAUUCCUUAAUUUUGUACUAAUUUUCCAAAAUGUUUGGUAGAUUUCCCUCAAUAUGCUAAGAGGUCAGCUUAAGAGAAUGGGCAGGGGGUCUUGGAAACUCAGAUAAGGGCCUUGACACUUAUUUUGGGCAAAGCUAACACUGAGUCACAGGGUUGUUCCAAUGAAUUAUUUUCCCUGUUGCCUCAGAUGAGAAAAAUUCACUCUGAUUUUAUUUCUUAUUCUUGUGUCUGCUUUAUCAUCACAGUUAAUAUAAAAUAUGCCAAUAAAUACUCUAUCUAAACAAUAAGUCUUCUCAUUUCCUUUUUGCGCCACACAGAACUUGCAGAAAAUGGGGAAAACGGGGCUACCUUUUCUUAAACCAGUUUGCCCAGGAAGCCCAUGCUGUGUAGUUCACAAUUUCAGCCAGGAGGUGGCGGUAGUAACCAAUGGCAAAAUCCUGAGACACUGCCUCUAUCAGCUUCUCAUUGUCCUGCGGACGCUUCCUGGAUCUAAUCUGAUGCUUAUGAAAGUGAUUUCCUUCUUUCGAAAACACCAGGCCCAAACAAAAACUAACUUCAUCCUGCAGAUAAAAACUGUAUGUGCCUUACAAGUUGUCAGACUCCUCCAGACCUUCAAUCAAUAUUUUCCCAGCAGCAAAAUGCAGCUGCACAUUUUAGGAAGCAGAGUGGGCAAAUUCCUUCUGCGGAAGCCCAUGAACCAUCAGGCCUCCCCCUCAGGGUGGCAGGAAGGUGUGGAAAGGGGGACUAAGCAAUCCAAGCUGCUAGACAAUCCGAGCUCCAGGGAGGCCAAGCACAUUCCCCCAGUUUGUGCAGGAAACAGCAGGGAACUGAAAAAAGGGUUCUGUUGAGAUGAGACUGAUGUUCCCAAGUCCUGAGUCCUCAAACCGAAUCACUUUCCGGCAGCAACACCUGUCUUUAGCAUGCAAACAUCGGUCUCAUAGAGUCUUCCCUGAAAGAUGUUUAAUGAUCAUGUCAUUACUGUCACUCUUUUUUUUUUUUUUGAGAGUGAGUUUUGCUCUUGUUGCCCAGACUGGAGUGCAAUGGAGCGAUAUCAGCUCACCCCAACUUCUGCCUCCCAGGUUCAAGCGAUUCUCCUGCCUCAGCCUCCCGGGUAGCUGGGGUUACAGGCAUGUGCCACCACGCCUGGCUAAUUUUGUAUUUUUAGUAGAGACGGGGUUUCUCCAUGUUGGUCAGGCUGGUCUCAAACUCCCAACUUCAGGUGAUCUGCCUGCCUCGGCCUCCCAAAGUGCUGGGAUUACAGGCGUGAGCCACUGCGCCCAGCCACUGCCACCUUUUAAACUACAGAAGAUGAGUGUGCCUGCUCAGACAAUGAAGGACUCUGAGGGAUUUGGAGAGCCACAAGGAGUCCAGACCUUAACCUGAGGGCAACAGCACCAUUAAAAGUUUCUAAGACAAGGAGGAACACGGCUCCACCAAUUUACAAUGGCUAAGAAGAAAAUAAGCUCGUCGGAAGGCAGGAAGUUGAGUCAAUUUUCUAUCCAUGAAUCUCAGCAUUAGGUUGUUUUUAUUGAACUUCUGAUAGUACAUCUUGAAGAAUGCUAAGGAAAAGUCUAGAAAGGUGCUCUUAGUCUCCUUUCUCUACUGCAGAAGCCCUUUGUGAUCUCCAGGGGAAGCAGCCCCCGUUUCCAUAUGGUCCCAGGGAGACGAACGACGGCAGAACAUUUCAUGUGCUGUGGAGGCACCUAGCUUCAGAAUGUGAAAAAGUAACCAGAGCUCUCAAACCUCCCUUUCCUCAUGUGUUAAAUAGGGAUAAUAGUCCUUACGUCAGGGUUGUUG
This 4874-nucleotide long non-coding RNA is filed under the name Homo sapiens (human). Its description in RNAcentral is "non-protein coding lnc-LY86-6:2". The record is from RNAcentral. Lineage: Eukaryota; Metazoa; Chordata; Mammalia; Primates; Hominidae.